UCGCUGAGAACAAAGGGAGGUUGUGUAUGUUGUUUGUGUGUAAUCAAAUUGUUUGUGUUUUUCUGGGGUGCCGCCUCAAGGUCAAACGUGUUGCAAUUUAAAUAUAGAUAUUAGAAGAUGUUAGCUUGAAAUGUGGUUAGUGUUAAGGGGGAAUAUGCGGCGAACGGCUGUUGAAUGCCUUCAUCAAACCUUAUUGGUAUUGCUAUCUGAUGCUGAGCAUGAGGCGGUCUAUGGACCUGAGACUUUUAGGGAACAGUGUCAAAACAUUGUCCAAACGUAUGAGUUGGGGAUUGAACUAUGUAGACUCUUUUUAAAUUACAAAAUAUGCGUUGAUUGCCUUAUAAACGGACUGAACGAGACUCAGUUGGGUGAAUACAUAAUACGGUGAUGAAGAAAGUUACAUUUGACGAUAGUAACAAUCGCGUGUAUGUACUGAUCGCGUGGUCCUUUGCAUAUAGUGCGGCACGAAAAGGGCCUUGGGAAACUAUGGCCUUGGAUAGAUUUCGCUUUAGUACAAAAAUAGAGCAAUUUUGUAAGAUAUUGUCUCCCGUCUUAGCAGAAAAUCAUCGUUUAUCAGUUUAUCUGACUAGAUUUCAAGGUCACCAGAACUCAAUGUAAUGGUCAACAGACAGCAAUAUAAUGGUGGUAGAAACGGUGAAUGGAAUCAGUCGAAUAGUGUUCGCUAAUCAGUUAAAAUGGAUCUUAAUCAACUCAACAGUAGCACCUACUGCAAACCUUUCAAGAACGUCAAGGAUAUGAAGGUCGGUGAAAAGUAUAAA
Molecule: long non-coding RNA, 779 nt
Organism: Photinus pyralis (common eastern firefly)
Lineage: Eukaryota; Metazoa; Arthropoda; Insecta; Coleoptera; Lampyridae
Exons: 2
Source: RefSeq, a predicted model, not a curated record